Pelodiscus sinensis (Chinese soft-shelled turtle) is the source of this 141-nucleotide small nuclear RNA. Its record names the gene U4. It matches the Rfam family "U4 spliceosomal RNA". Rfam says of the family: U4 small nuclear RNA (U4 snRNA) is a component of the major U2-dependent spliceosome. The structure of U4 snRNA from yeast and human has been reported. U4 snRNA presents a k-turn RNA motif in the 5p-SL related to recognition of Snu13 protein. The record is from Ensembl. Lineage: Eukaryota; Metazoa; Chordata; Testudines; Trionychidae.
GUCUUUGCGCAGUGGCAAUAUCGUAACCCAUGUGGUUAAUCCGAGGCGCGAUUAUUGUUAAUUGAAAACUUUUCCCAAUACCCCGCCGUGACGACUUGCAAUACAGUCAGUAUCGGCAAUUUUUGGCGGUCUCUGCGGAGG